UACGUAGGUGGCAAGCGUUGUCCGGAUUUAUUGGGUUUAAAGGGUGCGUAGGCGGUCUUAUAAGUCAGUGCUGAAAUAUCCCGGCUUAACCGGGAGGGUGGCAUUGAUACUGCAAGACUUGAGUAGAGUUGAGGUUGGCGGAAUUGACGGUGUAGCGGUGAAAUGCUUAGAUAUCGUCAAGAACACCGAUAGUGAAGACAGCUAACUAAGCUCAAACUGACGCUGAGGCACGAAAGUGUGGGGAUCAAACAGG
Molecule: ribosomal RNA, 253 nt
Filed under: uncultured bacterium
Lineage: Bacteria
Description: partial 16S ribosomal RNA
Rfam family: Bacterial small subunit ribosomal RNA
Source: RNAcentral